UACGUAGGGAGCAAGCGUUGUCCGGAAUCAUUGGGCGUAAAGAGCGCGUAGGUGGCUUUAUAAGUCCGUUGUGAAAGUCAAAGGCUCAACCUUUGAAAGCCGAUGGAUACUGUAGAGCUAGAGUACGGAAGAGGCGAGUGGAAUUCCUGGUGUAGCGGUGGAAUGCGCAGAUAUCAGGAGGAACACCAAUAGCGAAGGCAGCUCGCUGGGACGUUACUGACACUGAGGCGCGAAAGCGUGGGGAGCGAACAGG
RNAcentral lists this ribosomal RNA (253 nucleotides) under uncultured bacterium. Its description in RNAcentral is "partial 16S ribosomal RNA". It matches the Rfam family "Bacterial small subunit ribosomal RNA", at positions 524 to 776 of the family's 1533-position model. The record is from RNAcentral.